This 5867-nucleotide long non-coding RNA is filed under the name Zea mays. Its description in RNAcentral is "long non-coding RNA (ZMAY_LNC001521)". Lineage: Eukaryota; Viridiplantae; Streptophyta; Magnoliopsida; Poales; Poaceae. The record is from RNAcentral.
ACAGAAGAAAUACAAUAAAACAGGAAACCUCAAAUUAAGUACUGAGUUAUUACAUAAAUCGGAGUUCUUGAGUAGCAAAUAAAGUUCACAAAAUAAAGUGCAGCGGAUAAUCGAUGUCGUCGGUACUGAGGAAAUGGGCAAGGCCUAGCCCACUACUCCUCGUGCUCCUCUCCUGCCGGAGCAACAACCCACUCGACCGUCCAACCCGGUGGCAGGGUGGCAGGCCAAGUCACACCAUCAACCAAUUCCUGCAUGGUACCUGCAAAAAUGGUGCCACAAGCAAGGCUGAGUAUACUAAUACUCAGCUAGACUUAACCGGUGUGAGGAGUCUACUCCUCUACCUCUAGACCAUGCAGCUGUUUGGCUGAGGGGUUUGGUUUGCCAAAAGCACUAGCUGUUUCUAAAAUCAAUUUUUAGCCUUUCAAGUUCUAUCAUCAUUAACUUAGCUAGGUUUGCUCCUUCUAAGCAUACAUGGUAACAACCAAUUAGUUCAAUCAACGAAUUAUCUCAUGUAACCACAUUUCACUUCUUACUCGAUGCAGUACAAGGAAUCAAGCAGCCUCAUUAGCUGCGAGAAGCAGACGAUUCGAAUCGAGUUUUAAACCUUGCAAGGUAAACCUAAACACACGGCAUGUCAGGGUACUCCGACCCCGCACAUGACAACCGUCCCCAUCAAUUCCCCGUUCGCGUCCAGGCCUCACCGCCUUGGCAUACAAUGCUCCACUGACCCCGGCUGCCGCCGUGCAGUGACCGCACUUGUACCCACCAUAGCUAGCAUGGGAGACCCAGUCUCAGGUCGCAUGACGGAUAAAGUCUGCGCCCGGCUUCACUCAGGUACUAGGUUUACCGGUUACCAUUUUUCCCGGCAUGUGCUUAGUACGUUCAAAAGCUUGACUCAGGUAUCCACACAUUAAUCCUUAAUUCAUUUUUCCCGUCUCAUGGACAAGGCAUCCUCCCUGGAUCCAAAUCCAUAGACCAACAUAGAUCCCGUUAUCAAGAUGAAUACAAUCAAUUCCUGACCUCGCGCGAGUGCUAGAAAAAUCACUCGACUUCUACCGAGAUCCUGAUUAGCAAGCAGCUACUCGACCUGGCAUACUAGUAUUCAUCUCAAAAAGGAAUCCUAAGUUUAUGCAACUAGAGGUUUCAAGCAACUCCUACACUUAAGUGCACAUUGCAAUCCUACAAGCAUUAAGUGUAGUAAAGUAGCAUAUAAUAACAUGGUUAUGCAUAAAACCGGGGCUUGCCUUCAAUUGCUGGGGCUGCGGGGAGAUCCUCAAUAGCAGCCUCUGAAGCCUGCUCCUGGUCCUCCUCUUGGACAGGUCCUUGCUCGGGGAUGAGCACGUACUCUCCGUCGGCAAGAUUACAAUCUAAUGAAUGCAAUGCGUAAGAUAUAUGCAUGAUAUGAUAUGUGCUUUUAGAAAUUACAACUUUAAAGGUGUAUGAUCUUUUGAGUUAAAACAAGUUAACUUUACUUAUGUAAAACCCUUAGUGGUAUACUUGGUAAAUUGGGUUAUACUUAGCUAAGGUAAGGGGUAGGUUUAUUUUUUUGGGGUUCCACUGAAUUCCUUUUAAGUCUUAGGGAUAAAUGAUAAGUUCUCAAGUUAGACUUAUUGGGGUGAGGUUUAUUUCUUCUUCUCUUUUCUUUUAUUCUCUUUAAUGUUUUGGAGUAGGUCUGAACUACAAGUUGCUUUUAUAAAAUUCUAAAAAUUCUGCAAAAAUUGCAGUGGCUUGUUACUGGUGUGUUUUGCUCUGUCUCAAAAUUUGGGGAUCAGAAGGUGAAUAGUUUUCUCUGGACAAAAUUAUCAAACUCUAGGGCAGAAGGGGUGCUUUGAACUACAACUACUAUUUAAUAGUGGGUAAUUCUCUAAAACUUAUUUUUGCUGGCUUUUAGGUGUUAUAACAUGACUUGAUACAAAUUUUUAAUCAUUAAUACCUCUUAAUAAAUUUUCUAUGGUUUUCUCAAGUUUCUAGCCAAAUGGGUGCUUUCUACUACCACUAUAUUUGAAAAAUAUCAAACAACAGAGUUCUUAUUUUUCUUGGUUAUUAUUUUGUGCAAGAGCAAUCAUUCUGAAGUUUGGCUUCUUUUAGCUUAAGGGAAGGGGUGGUUUGCAUUAUUUGAAUUAAGUGGUCUUUCUCUUUAAUCAUUAGCAAAAGGUAUGGGUUUACUUCUUCUUCAUGGGUUUGCAUUUUUCUCUGGUAGUUUACCUCAUCACGAGCUUAGCAAAUUUUUGGUUGCCUAUUAUCACAUUAAAAGGGGUUGUUCAUGAUUUAUUUGGAAAAUGCCUUAUUAUCACCUUGUAUUUAUUUUCUUUACUUAAAAAGUUGGGCUGAGGUGCUCUGUAUUUUUGUAGUGGGGCUCUGGUGGUUAUAAGUCCACUAGAUUUUUAUUAAUCAUUUUGGUUAUAGUUUUGUAACUCUAAUAAUUGAUUUUCAGUCUAUAUGAGGCUAAACAAAUCAUCUUAAUUUAAAACUGGUCCAAAUUAAUGGUCUCUGUAUAUUUCCUAGGUUCUCUGUUGCAUAAGUAAACUAGGAAAAAUAUUAUUAAUCACUGUUCAUUAAUUUCUAAGGCCUUUCUGAUUUUCUCUAAGUUUUGGACAAUUUAGCUUUAAAUGAAAAACUACAUCAUAUUUUUCAAUGCUGGGUUUCCUACUAUUUUUAAACAGUGCCUAAAUAAGGUUUAAACAUCUACAAUUUUUCUUAAGCUCAGCACAAAGGAAAAACAAAUUUUCCUUAAUUAAACAAGUUUUAGUGGGUUUCUGUUUUUAAAUUUAAACUUUAAAAUUUAGAACAGAAAGCAUGGGGUUUACUAUUUUUAAAUGAUAGAUCAUAAAAUUCAGAAGCUAGCAAAAUUGGUUUGACAACUUUUUAUUAAGAUUUCAUCAAGUUAUGGAUUUUCUAAGUUCUCUGGUCAUUUUAAAAAGAAUAACAGAAUUGAUUAAAUGGAAAUCCACUUUGCACUGGGGUCCCUGGCGGUUUUCUAAGUUUUCUUCGCGAAUCAGUCCUUAGGUUACUAUUCACAUGAGUCACUGACAUUACAGAAAACCCCUCGGGUUCUACCAAUCCUAACCCGAGGUCCUUCUUCUACCUCAAACAGUAACCGCGGCGGAGAAAAGGGCGGAGGGGCUUACCGGCGGCAAGAUUGCUCCGGUGAAGUGGUCGAGGACGAAGGGGAGGUCUCGGGGAUCACAACGGUGUGCGGAACGCCGUCGGAGAUGGCCGGAGUCGGUCGGUCCACGCGCGCAGGCGGGGAUGCUCGUCGGCGGCGAGGAGACCGGCCUGGUCACGGCGAGAUAGUUCAAUCAAAUAGGUCAGGGAGGUCCACGGGAUGCCAGAGAAGAUAUGCGCGAAAGGAAUUGGGCGGAGACUCACUGGAUAGCUCGGUCCACGCGCGACGGCGGAAGACCGAAGUCCGGUGAGGUCAAUCUCUGGCCUCCGGUGAAAUCCGGUCGGGUCCGAGGGCUUGGCAAGCUUCACGGGCUACUGGCGGAGCUAGCCGAAGCACUGGCUGGGCUUGAGGGUGGCUGGAGUUGGCUGGCCACGGCGGCCGAAGCUCUGGCGGCAAUGGCAGGCGAAAUUAAGCUUGCCGGAGCUAAGGAAAGGUGGCUGGCCAGAGAGGGUGAGUGCGGGGCGAAGAGAGGUGCGCCCGGGGAGGCUUUAUAGGCGCGGGCGGGCACAGCCGAGGGCGUGGGCGCGCGGCGGACUUGACCGGACGCCGGGGUGAGCGCGCGCGCGGGUUGGGCGAGCUCUGGCGUGCCGACCAGGGUCGAACACGUGUGCCCGUGCGUUCUGCCCAAGUUCUGGCGCGUGUGGUCGCUCAUCCGAGCCUGCUCUCGCCUUGGUCAGUGCACAAAACCUCUUCUCCUCCCUACAAGCUACCAUUCUUGUGUGGGGGUCAUAGGAUUUUGCCUACUGGUUGCAGAGAUAUGGAGCGAGGAAAUCUGGUCUGUCUCCCUGCCCAAACCCGAGGCAAAUCCAAGGUUUUGUCGUGUCUAGGGCUCGCGUCCCAAUGCCAUCUUCUGGCACACGACAGAGGGGUUAGUUAGACACAAUUUUGUCAAUGGGGCCAUUACUAUUCGAGUUAGGGAUCAAGGUGAACAUCCCUGAUCUUUGGCUCAAGGUCUGAAUUUCAGAAUUCUGAAAUUUAGAAAUCCCAAUGAGUCCCCACAUGAGAAGCUUGAUUUGGGGUUUUAUUUGAGUUAUUUUGGCUAAGCUUUCUCAACAUUUCUUGUUGCCCAUUAAAUAUUCUUUAAUUUUCAUAAUUGGCUCAAAUCAUAAUUUUAAACUUUUCAUUCCCUUUUUCUUAUUUUCUUGAAUUUUGCUCAUGGGGCUCACUUUAGGGUUUUUAAUUAGGGUUGCACAUUCUUAUCUUUUCAAAGACUCAAUUGUUUUGAUCAUGUUACUUUUAAGUAUAUACUUGGUGAAUUCUCUAUUACUUAAGUUGUUUUGAUGCUCAUGCUUACUUUGGUUCACAUAAAAUGAUGGUUCUUGGUUUGGCAUUUGAGAAAAACCCUGAGUGACACUGGGGUGUCACAGUACGCCACUAGGGCCAUUGGAUGAGAGAUCUACCGCACAGAUUUAAAAUAUCCAAACUGUUUUCCAUCCGCCAGAUCGGGAUCGAACGACCACGGUUGCAUCAUCGCCAACCGGUACCCGAAUCAGAUCUUGACCGUUAAUCCCUAUCAACGGUCGCACUCCUUCCCCCAACCCUCCUACCUACGACGCACAUGCGGCGACGGCCGCAGAGCCCACUGCAGAGGAGUUCGCCGUCGAACUCCGUCCGACGAAUUGGGGCCCCAAAUUCCAAAUCAAUAGGUGUUGUACGUAGAGAAGGAUGAGGCGAAGCUAUGGGUUAGCAGACUACCUGCGAGAAAGGCGCCCACAAGGCUGGCCACGGCAUGGUGUGAUCGUCGGUGAUUUCCCAAGUCUGGUGAGAAAUUGGGUUGGAAACGGGGGUCGUCGUCGUCCGUCAAUGCCACGAUGAGCCAGCACACACCCAGGCGGCCAUCCCUGACCACAGUGCGGACUUCAAUCGGCGAUGCAGGCCAAGGACUGCGACGGUGACUCCAUUCUCACCUCCCAGAUCAACGGACGGAGUCGUUUCUUCCCCAUAAACUACAGAGCGGCGGCGGGCUUUAGUUUGUACGGCGGCGAGCCCUUGUAGCUGGAGGGCGAGGGCGAGGGCGAGGGCGGUUCGGUAAGUAGAAGGGCAACAUGGGCGGCUUGGGCGUCUGAGGCACCUUCACCGGUGACGCUGGCAGGCCAACGCCCAGCUUUGUUGUUCACCACUGCCACCGCCGGCUCCCGGACUGCAAUCGACUUGCAGCAACAGAGGCCCUUGGCACCCGACGGAUCAAGCGGUGGGAGCACAAAAUUUGGAAUCGAAACUAGGCUAGUCAAAUAUUUACCUCGGUUUCUAGAACCCGUCAUUGUAUAGCGGACUCCUGACGGACGCCAUCAGCUCGCACCAAAUCUAUUGCCACGGAAGGGGGCCUUCAUUGCUUGUUCUAGACGCUUGGGAAAAACCAGCCCCAAGUACGAUGUACACCGGUGAGCACCCCUGAUCCCCCACCCAAAUCCGAGCAAUCGGUGCUCAGCGGUGCUUUUACUCGCCGAUGGCUUAUGGGAGGUCGCAGGGGCCAUCUUAUAUGUACCUGGGCAGGGCCAUGGGGGCGGCAGACUCCUAGGAUUCCGGUGGGGGUUUGGCCGGUGCAACCCCCCGGAUUUGAUGGGAUAGCAGCGGCACCGGGUGUGUUUGUUGCCAGGAAUCACGCAGUCUGUUGGAGUCCUACACGGGGAAGACAACGCUGACGGGUUGGCCCACGAUGUCAGAGACUCGCCAGCAAGCGCGUGGUAGUCUGAGAGGGCAC